RNAcentral lists this ribosomal RNA (253 nucleotides) under uncultured bacterium. RNAcentral's name for it is "partial 16S ribosomal RNA". It matches the Rfam family "Bacterial small subunit ribosomal RNA", at positions 524 to 776 of the family's 1533-position model. The record is from RNAcentral.
UACGUAGGGAGCAAGCGUUGUCCGGAAUCAUUGGGCGUAAAGCGCGCGUAGGCGGCUUCCUAAGUUCUGUGUGAAAGGUUUCGGCUCAACCGGAACACGGCAUGGGAUACUGGGAGGCUUGAGGGCAGCAGAGGUCGGUGGAAUUCCCGGUGGAGUGGUGAAAUGCGUAGAGAUCGGGAGGAACACCAGAGGCGAAGGCGGCCGACUGGGCUGUACCUGACGCUGAGGCGCGAAAGCGUGGGGAGCGAACCGG